AUUGAACGCUGGCGGCAGGCUUAACACAUGCAAGUCGAGCGGAGAUGAGGUGCUUGCACCUUAUCUUAGCGGCGGACGGGUGAGUAAUGCUUAGGAAUCUGCCUAUUAGUGGGGGACAACAUUCCGAAAGGAAUGCUAAUACCGCAUACGUCCUACGGGAGAAAGCAGGGGAUCUUCGGACCUUGCGCUAAUAGAUGAGCCUAAGUCGGAUUAGCUAGUUGGUGGGGUAAAGGCCUACCAAGGCGACGAUCUGUAGCGGGUCUGAGAGGAUGAGCCGCCACACUGGGACUGAGACACGGCCCAGACUCUUACGGGAGGCAGCAGUGGGGAAUAUUGGACAAUGGGGGGAACCCUGAUCCAGCCGUGCCGCGUGUGUGAAGAAGGCCUUAUGGUUGUAAAGCACUUUAAGCGAGGAGGAGGCUACUGAGACUAAUACUCUUGGAUAGUGGACGUUACUCGCAGAAUAAGCACCGGCUAACUCUGUGCCAGCCGCCGCGGUAA
This 501-nucleotide ribosomal RNA is filed under the name uncultured bacterium. RNAcentral describes it as "partial 16S ribosomal RNA". It matches the Rfam family "Bacterial small subunit ribosomal RNA", at positions 30 to 523 of the family's 1533-position model. The record is from RNAcentral.